Long non-coding RNA from Paramormyrops kingsleyae, 832 nucleotides. RefSeq lists it as uncharacterized. The record is from RefSeq and is a predicted model, not a curated record. NCBI's taxonomy places the organism in Eukaryota, Metazoa, Chordata, Actinopteri, Osteoglossiformes, Mormyridae.
AUUAGCUCCGCAGAGCCACGCUGGCGGGCCUGAGCGCUCCCCUGGUAACCGGAGACCGGGAGCCGGGCAUUUUCCUGCGUCCAGAUAUUUUUCUGUCUACAGAAGCAGUUGCCUAAAAGACGGCAGACGUCGUGCCAGAAGAACGGUGUGUGACUCACCUCACCUCCGAACUGUUGUGGUUUAUCAUGAAAACGUCCAGGUGAUGGAGCAGCUUUCCGAAACCAGCCUGAAAUCACUGAAAUAAAAUAAACAGGAAGCACAUUACAGUAUGCGAUAUAUAUUUAUAAAUACACAUACAUACAGUUUAUAUACACACAUACCUUAAUUUACAUAGCAUUUAAGUUAUAGUUUUCAGUUGAUUUUUGACUUUAAAUAGCAUGGAGAAAAUGUAUUAAUAUAAACUGUGAUUUAUGGAUGGAUAGACAAACAUUUACGUUUUGGUUUUAUUUAAGUGUACUACAAAAAUACCAAAUAUCCAAAAUUAUAUGGAUCGAUGAUGAAAAUAUAUGUGAAAUUCAUCUGCUGAAAAUGACAUCAAUCAGCUUCCUCAGAGGUCUGUAGCUCUAAAAUUCCAGCAUGGUGUGUAGGAAAGUGGACGACGUCUUCUUCCUCUUUUGUCUGAGCACCUAGCUCCCAUCCCGGAAAGCCCGUCUCAAACAGCGGCAAUGAUAUCCCUCACCGACAUGGCUGUGCAGACGGAGAGAUGGGGAGAGGGACACUACUGUGGUUUAAAAGCACCCAAAGCAUCCUGGAUGUCUGAUCUGUGAUGAUGUCUUGAGGAUGACGAUGAGCACAGGCUCAAACCCAGACCCGUAUGGACACGUGAACACCU